AGUGAACGCUGGCGGCAGGCCUAACACAUGCAAGUCGAACGGCAGCACAAGAGAGCUUGCUCUCUGGGUGGCGAGUGGCGGACGGGUGAGGAAUGCAUCGGAAUCUGCCCAUUUGUGGGGGAUAACCUCGGGAAACCGGGACUAAUACCGCAUACGACCUACGGGUGAAAGCAGGGGAUCUUCGGACCUUGCGCAGAUGGAUGAGCCGAUACCGGAUUAGCUAGUUGGAGGGGUAGAGGCCCACCGAGGCGACGAUCCGUAGCUGGUCUGAGAGGAUGAUCAGCCACACUGGGACUGAGACACGGCCCAGACUCCUACGGGAGGCAGCAGUGGGGAAUAUUGGACAAUGGGCGCAAGCCUGAUCCAGCCAUGCCGCGUGUGUGAAGAAGGCCUUCGGGUUGUAAAGCACUUUUGUUGGGAAAGAAAAGCAGCCGGUUAAUACCCGGUUGUCAUGACGGUACCCAAAGAAUAAGCACCGGCUAACUUCGUG
RNAcentral lists this ribosomal RNA (490 nucleotides) under uncultured bacterium. RNAcentral describes it as "partial 16S ribosomal RNA". It matches the Rfam family "Bacterial small subunit ribosomal RNA", at positions 29 to 507 of the family's 1533-position model. The record is from RNAcentral.